UACAGAGGUCCCAAGCGUUGUUCGGAUUCACUGGGCGUAAAGGGUGCGUAGGCGGCCGGGUAAGUCUGAUGUGAAAUCCCGCAGCUUAACUGCGGAACUGCAUCGGAUACUCUCUGGCUAGAGGAAUGGAGGGGAGACUGGAAUUCUCGGUGUAGCAGUGAAAUUCGUAGAUAUCGGGAGGAACACCAGUGGCGAAGGCGGCGACCUGGGCCAAUACUGACGCUGAGGUGCGAAAGCGUGGGGAGCAAACAGG
This 253-nucleotide ribosomal RNA is filed under the name uncultured bacterium. RNAcentral's name for it is "partial 16S ribosomal RNA". It matches the Rfam family "Bacterial small subunit ribosomal RNA", at positions 524 to 776 of the family's 1533-position model. The record is from RNAcentral.